AGCCCUGUCCUAUGAACAAUUAGAUAACAGAAAGUAAUGCUUGAACUAAUAUUCUUUGCAACGGUUUAUAAAAGAUUGGUGUUUCAAAGUGCGUCAUGUAGAUGUCGUGCAGAUGUUUCCUCUGUCUCUUCCUCUGUGAUGCAUUCAGGCCCAAAGAUUCCCCGGGGCGGGGAAUCUAAAGGUUCUGAAAGAUUACAUUUGUUAAUUAAUCUGUUCACAAUGUACUGCAGGACGUCUGAGCACUAAGGAGAGGAGAGCUACGCCACACAACGUUUCUCAGCCACAACGAGUCCAAAAUAUCUGGAAAUUCACCGUAUCUCUUGACAUGACCCAGAAGUAUCCAAGCGACGGCUGCAAUGGAAGAAAUGUCCUUGGGGGAGUUUCUGUUAUCUCCUCUCAGGAAAUGCAGUGGACUUCUCUUUGUUGGGAAAAUCCGAUCAUGUUCUGUGCUGCACAUACACUUAAUAAUCUUGUUUCUCACCAAUGCAGCUCACUGAAGAAAAUACACAAAUAAGCUUCACUACAAAACUGAAUAGACAAGGAUCUGCUUUUGUGAUCUACAGCAAUGGCAAAAAUAAAGUCCAUCUUCUACAGGGUUAGUGAUCUGGUCUUUAUUAGGUUAUUCAAAGAUUUCAACCAGGUGCUCAAUAGCUAUAGAAUCUGUUCUUUCUUAUUUUUAGCAUUAUUUUGAUUUCACCUCUGGCACUGAAAAAAUUCUGUCCUUAGAAUAAUUCAUUUAGGUUUCGGGACAAGGCUCACCUCUGUUCUGGUUUUACAUGCUUUCUUUGAGUAAUACUAGAAAAAAACUAAAACUAAUGUUGCCUUAAAG
This is a long non-coding RNA of Poecilia latipinna (sailfin molly), 829 nucleotides long. RefSeq lists it as uncharacterized. The record is from RefSeq and is a predicted model, not a curated record. The transcript is spliced from 3 exons. Lineage: Eukaryota; Metazoa; Chordata; Actinopteri; Cyprinodontiformes; Poeciliidae.